UUUUUUCCCACAACUUCAGGGUGCCAUUGAGCUGCUAGAUGCUUCCAUCGGUUUCUUCUUUCUUCUACUGCGUGUUUACUCCGGAGAGUGAUAGAACAAUUGCACCCACCAAGAGGAAGAAAGAAGAAGAGGGAAAUUCACAUCACGAGACUGAACAGAGAGAGAAGAGGGGGACGGGAAGAAGAAGAAGAAGAGGAAUCUGGGUCUUGAUCUGAAGCACCUGGCUUUUUUGGAUAUCACUUUUCUUUUUCUUGGCUAAUCUUGAUCUACAGAGUGUGAGCUGUUCAGAUUUGCUGUCUAUCAAUCUGUGAACCAGAGUUUCAAAUUGGAUUGAGAUUUGCAGAAGCCUUACAAUUUCAUGAAUCAUUGUUGGGCUUGAACCAGUAUUUCAAUGUGCUAAUGUCAUUAACUCCUUCUUGAAUGUUUUAUGAUAUUGCUUGCAUUGAAUCAAAUAAGUUGUUCAGACUCGAAAGUUGCAUAUACUCGAGAACUUGGGAAAACCUGUUUUUUAAACUCCUAGACGCAGAAGUUUGACAGUUUAAGGAUUCUGCUCCAAGUUGUAUUAGCUCCAAAACCGCAGCAAAGCGCGGGCACAAUUUCUAGUUCUACAUAUACUAAAUGUGGUCGCCCUGUUCAUCACUGUUCAUAGGACAGUGGAGUGACGGUUUUACCCUCCAUUUUUCUGCUGUCGUUCUAAAAGAGAGAGAGAGAGAGAGAGAGAGAGAGCGUGUGCUUUGCAAGAAGAGAUAGACAGAUCGGUUGUUGCUGUGAUUGACAGUUGUGUCGGAGCCAGGCUCUUCGAUCUAAUCUUGGCCAAAUAAAGGAGGCACUUCGAAGUUAGAGUGAAAGAUCAGUUGAUUAAUUGAGUUAAGAAGAAAGGGGCCUAGGUUCUGGACUGUAUUGUGCUCACUGAGUUUGCAAAAUCUCCUACUCCUUGCUGCAGAGUUGGAAAAGGCGUGUUUGUCCUCACUGUUCAAGGAGAAUAUCAAGCUGGUGGAAAAGUCGAUUUCGUCCUUGCUUUUGUUAGUGUUGGAUAGGUAUCACGAUCGGGAUUUGAGUGGUUUACAUCAACAUCAGAAAGAGCGAAAGAGAGAGGAAAGAAGAGAGGAAAGGAGAAGAUCUCGGUGACAAUAGACCGGUUGCAAGCUGUGAAACUCUGAUUGUAUUGCUAAUCUCAGAAUACAUAGUUGUACUGAAAACAAAUAGAACAGAUUCUAUGGGUUCUGCAGUUUCAGAUCCGGGUAACUCACUGCAAGAACUUCAAGGUUUAAAACAGAAUAGCAACUAAAGUGUCAAAGCUGCAGAGUUUCAAAUAAAAGGUUUAAAACAAAACAUCAGUAACUAAGUGUCAAAGCUCUAGAGUUUAAAAUCAAGGGUUGAAGUGAAGACAAUAUCUCUAUUUCAUACAGCUCCCACACUCUCAUGGGUAGGGGGUCUACUUAUGGAUGUCAAAAUUCCGCAACGUUUGUCCGCGCAUGGUGCCGCUCCUCUUCGGGAAGUUUGCUUGUGCAAAGCGUUGACCGCUCCGUUAGGUGCCUUAUUCACGGCGGAUCGACCUAAUUUCUUUACACAAUACCUAUCACUAUUGUAUAAACAUAUAAGAAUUUUCCGAUUGAUCGAUUUUCAUUUCAAAAUUUUUGGAUCGCACAUAAUUCUUAUGUCUUGUAAUGUAGUAUAACUAGUUUAUAUAGGCUUGUUACCCUCCAUGAGAAAAAUGGGGGAUGAAAUGGAAUUUUUUAAAAUGAACCGUUGGAUGUUGUUUGCAUAUGAAUAUAUGUUAGUGGUAGAAAUUUCAACAAUUUCCGCAUUC
Molecule: long non-coding RNA, 1810 nt
Organism: Rosa rugosa (rugosa rose)
Lineage: Eukaryota; Viridiplantae; Streptophyta; Magnoliopsida; Rosales; Rosaceae
Exons: 14
Source: RefSeq, a predicted model, not a curated record